This 482-nucleotide ribosomal RNA is filed under the name uncultured bacterium. RNAcentral's name for it is "partial 16S ribosomal RNA". It matches the Rfam family "Bacterial small subunit ribosomal RNA", at positions 29 to 506 of the family's 1533-position model. The record is from RNAcentral.
UUGAACGCUGGCGGCAUGCUUUACACAUGCAAGUCGAACGGCAGCGCGGGCUUCGGCCUGGCGGCGAGUGGCGAACGGGUGAGUAAUGCAUCGGAACGUGCCCAGUAGUGGGGGAUAGCCCGGCGAAAGCCGGAUUAAUACCGCAUACGACCUGAGGGUGAAAGCGGGGGACCGAAAGGCCUCGCGCUAUUGGAGCGGCCGAUGUCGGAUUAGCUAGUUGGUGGGGUAAAGGCUUACCAAGGCGACGAUCCGUAGCUGGUCUGAGAGGACGACCAGCCACACUGGGACUGAGACACGGCCCAGACUCCUACGGGAGGCAGCAGUGGGGAAUUUUGGACAAUGGGGGCAACCCUGAUCCAGCCAUGCCGCGUGCGGGAAGAAGGCCUUCGGGUUGUAAACCGCUUUUGUUCGGGAAGAAAUCCUCUGGGCUAAUACCCCGGGGGGAUGACGGUACCGGAAGAAUAAACACCGGCUAACUACGU